Molecule: long non-coding RNA, 651 nt
Organism: Photinus pyralis (common eastern firefly)
Lineage: Eukaryota; Metazoa; Arthropoda; Insecta; Coleoptera; Lampyridae
Exons: 3
Source: RefSeq, a predicted model, not a curated record
CAAAGAGUUACAAUCAUUCUCAUAUAGCAUCACGUACAGGGCUUAAAAGGAAAGCAGUCAAACGUCAAAAAUUUCUUGAACUAGAUUUCGAAGUGUUCGUAGUGUAAGCGGCAAGAACAACAGUCGAUAAGGGAUUGUACAUAGUUAACUAGGUCUUCAUUACCUGCAAACCAGGAUUUUACCUGGAUCAAACUUAACACGCUUCCGUCUCAAAAAAGAUGCUUAUCUCUCUCUUCUUGGGAGGCCGAUGGUCACUAAGAACUCUGCUGCCCAAAAAACUGUAAUUCUUAAGGUUUGCUGUCGGUUACAGGUAUUAAGAGAAAGAAUAAAUGUUAUAUACUUUUUCCGCUUUAUUUAGUAAAAAAUUAUGUCAUUGUAAGAUUGUUAUGUAUGUAGUACACGUUUGACAAUGCACAAUGACAUUGAGAAUGGGAAUGAUAUAAACAGUUGGAUUGUAAUUUAGGUAGUGCAGGUUUCUCGUUGAUCUCGAGGACAUCCUGCGAUAAGGUUUUUCGUAUAAAUUCUACCUUCUCCUUUCCCUUGACAUAUGUAGCGUCCAUUGGUGAUACCAGCAGGCGCACUAUAGUUGAAAAUAAGUGUGCCUGCGUAUGUCCUUCUUCCCAUUUAAUCGGCCAGAUUGCUUCUCUCUCU